RNAcentral lists this ribosomal RNA (898 nucleotides) under uncultured Bacteroidota bacterium. Its description in RNAcentral is "bacterial SSU rRNA". It matches the Rfam family "Bacterial small subunit ribosomal RNA", at positions 1 to 891 of the family's 1533-position model. Lineage: Bacteria; Pseudomonadati; Bacteroidota. The record is from RNAcentral.
UGGAUCCAGACUUUUAUUCUGGCUCAGGAUGAACGCUAGCUACAGGCUUAACACAUGCAAGUCGAGGGGCAGCAUGGUCUUAGCUUGCUAAGGCCGAUGGCGACCGGCGCACGGGUGAGUAACACGUAUCCAACCUGCCGUCUACUCUUGGACAGCCUUCUGAAAGGAAGAUUAAUACAAGAUGGCAUCAUGAGUCCGCAUGUUCACAUGAUUAAAGGUAUUCCGGUAGACGAUGGGGAUGCGUUCCAUUAGAUAGUAGGCGGGGUAACGGCCCACCUAGUCUUCGAUGGAUAGGGGUUCUGAGAGGAAGGUCCCCCACAUUGGAACUGAGACACGGUCCAAACUCCUACGGGAGGCAGCAGUGAGGAAUAUUGGUCAAUGGGCGAGAGCCUGAACCAGCCAAGUAGCGUGAAGGAUGACUGCCCUAUGGGUUGUAAACUUCUUUUAUAAAGGAAUAAAGUCGGGUAUGGAUACCCGUUUGCAUGUACUUUAUGAAUAAGGAUCGGCUAACUCCGUGCCAGCAGCCGCGGUAAUACGGAGGAUUCUAGCGUUAUCCGGAUUUAUUGGGUUUAAAGGGAGCGUAGAUGGAUGUUUAAGUCAGUUGUGAAAGUUUGCGGCUCAACCGUAAAAUUGCAGUUGAUACUGGAUAUCUUGAGUGCAGUUGAGGCAGGCGGAAUUCGUGGUGUAGCGGUGAAAUGCUUAGAUAUCACGAAGAACUCCGAUUGCGAAGGCAGCCUGCUAAGCUGCAACUGACAUUGAGGCUCGAAAGUGUGGGUAUCAAACAGGAUUAGAUACCCUGGUAGUCCACACGGUAAACGAUGAAUACUCGCUGUUUGCGAUAUACGGCAAGCGGCCAAGCGAAAGCGUUAAGUAUUCCACCUGGGGAGUACGCCGGCAA